This 703-nucleotide ribosomal RNA is filed under the name Arthrobacter oryzae. Its description in RNAcentral is "bacterial SSU rRNA". It matches the Rfam family "Bacterial small subunit ribosomal RNA", at positions 8 to 724 of the family's 1533-position model. The record is from RNAcentral. Lineage: Bacteria; Bacillati; Actinomycetota; Actinomycetes; Micrococcales; Micrococcaceae.
AGAGUUUGAUCCUGGCUCAGGAUGAACGCUGGCGGCGUGCUUAACACAUGCAAGUCGAACGAUGAUCCCCAGCUUGCUGCGGGGAUUAGUGGCGAACGGGUGAGUAACACGUGAGUAACCUGCCCUUAACUCUGGGAUAAGCCUGGGAAACUGGGUCUAAUACCGGAUAUGACUCCUCAUCGCAUGGUGGGGGGUGGAAAGCUUUUGUGGUUUUGGAUGGACUCGCGGCCUAUCAGCUUGUUGGUGAGGUAAUGGCUCACCAAGGCGACGACGGGUAGCCGGCCUGAGAGGGUGACCGGCCACACUGGGACUGAGACACGGCCCAGACUCCUACGGGAGGCAGCAGUGGGGAAUAUUGCACAAUGGGCGCAAGCCUGAUGCAGCGACGCCGCGUGAGGGAUGACGGCCUUCGGGUUGUAAACCUCUUUCAGUAGGGAAGAAGCGAAAGUGACGGUACCUGCAGAAGAAGCGCCGGCUAACUACGUGCCAGCAGCCGCGGUAAUACGUAGGGCGCAAGCGUUAUCCGGAAUUAUUGGGCGUAAAGAGCUCGUAGGCGGUUUGUCGCGUCUGCCGUGAAAGUCCGGGGCUCAACUCCGGAUCUGCGGUGGGUACGGGCAGACUAGAGUGAUGUAGGGGAGACUGGAAUUCCUGGUGUAGCGGUGAAAUGCGCAGAUAUCAGGAGGAACACCGAUGGCGAAGGCAG